GCACAAGCGGUGGAUGAUGUGGUUUAAUUCGAUGCAACGCGAAAACCUUACCCACCUUUGACAUGGCAGGAAUCCCGAAGAGAUUUGGGAGUGCUCGAAAGAGAACCUGCACACAGGUGCUGCAUGGCUGUCGUCAGCUCGUGUCGUGAGAUGUUGGGUUAAGUCCCGCAACGAGCGCAACCCUUGCCAUUAGUUGCUACGAAAGGGCACUCUAAUGGGACUGCCGGUGACAAACCGGAGGAAGGUGGGGAUGACGUCAAGUCCUCAUGGCCCUUAUAGGUGGGGCUACACACGUCAUACAAUGGCCGGUACAGAGGGUAGCCAACCCGCGAGGGGGAGCUAAUCCCACAAAGCCGGUCGUAGUCCGGAUCGCAGUCUGCAACUCGACUGCGUGAAGUCGGAAUCGCUAGUAAUCGUGGAUCAGAAUGUCACGGUGAAUACGUUCCCGGGCCUU
RNAcentral lists this ribosomal RNA (454 nucleotides) under uncultured Allobrachymonas sp. RNAcentral's name for it is "bacterial SSU rRNA". It matches the Rfam family "Bacterial small subunit ribosomal RNA", at positions 923 to 1382 of the family's 1533-position model. Lineage: Bacteria; Pseudomonadati; Pseudomonadota; Betaproteobacteria; Burkholderiales; Comamonadaceae. The record is from RNAcentral.